Transfer RNA from Monosiga brevicollis MX1, 72 nucleotides. It matches the Rfam family "tRNA". From Rfam's summary of the family: Transfer RNA (tRNA) molecules are approximately 80 nucleotides in length. Their secondary structure includes four short double-helical elements and three loops (D, anti-codon, and T loops). The record is from Rfam. Lineage: Eukaryota; Choanoflagellata; Craspedida; Salpingoecidae.
UCCCCUAUGGUGUAACGGCUAGCAUACCUGGUUUUCACCCAGGAGACCUGGGUUCGAUUCCCGGUAGGGGAG